This 405-nucleotide ribosomal RNA is filed under the name uncultured bacterium. Its description in RNAcentral is "bacterial SSU rRNA". It matches the Rfam family "Bacterial small subunit ribosomal RNA", at positions 355 to 776 of the family's 1533-position model. The record is from RNAcentral.
UGGGGAAUAUUGGGCAAUGGGCGCAAGCCUGACCCAGCAACGCCGCGUGAAGGAAGAAGGCUUUCGGGUUGUAAACUUCUUUUAUCAGGGACGAAUCAUGACGGUACCUGAUGAAUAAGCCACGGCUAACUACGUGCCAGCAGCCGCGGUAAUACGUAGGUGGCAAGCGUUAUCCGGAUUUACUGGGUGUAAAGGGCGUGUAGGCGGGAUGGUAAGUCAGAUGUGAAAACCAGAGGCUCAACCUCUGGCCUGCAUUUGAAACUAUCGUUCUUGAGUGUUGGAGAGGCAGGCGGAAUUCCGUGUGUAGCGGUGAAAUGCGUAGAUAUACGGAGGAACACCAGUGGCGAAGGCGGCCUGCUGGACAAUAACUGACGCUGAGGCGCGAAAGCGUGGGGAGCAAACAGG